RNAcentral lists this long non-coding RNA (1456 nucleotides) under Macaca mulatta (Rhesus monkey). Its description in RNAcentral is "lncRNA (ENSMMUG00000056547.1)". The record is from RNAcentral. Lineage: Eukaryota; Metazoa; Chordata; Mammalia; Primates; Cercopithecidae.
GGGUGGUGUGUGUGUGUAGCACUUAAUUGCAUGCGGAAAGGAAAAGAUACUUUUGAUGACCGAGAGGCAGCUUUUCUCUGCUUUUGUAUCAAAAGAGAAGAAGGGAGUUUGGAGAGGGAAAGGAAUUCUGUUCAAUACUAAGCUCUCUUCCUCAAAAUCAGAGGUACAUAGAAUGUGUAAUAAUUUACAGAAUUUCUAGACUUCCGCAAUCUGAUUUUUUAAAAUUUAUUUUUAUUUUUUCAGGUCGAGGCUGAGCUGGAGUUAAUCUGUGGCGACAUGCUGGAGGUACUAGACAAACACCUCAUUCCAGCAGCUACCACUGCCCCCAUUCACUGGGGAGAAUGGAAAGAAAACAACUGACAACAUCCUCAAAUGUAAACUCAAUUUGCCUCCCUACCUCACACAAGAAGCCAGAGAUCUGCUUAAAAAGGCUCAUCCAUUCUUUAGACACAUUAACUGGGAAGAACUUCUGGCUGGAAAGGUGGAGCCCCCCAUUUAAACCUCUGUUGCAAUCUGAAGAGGAUGUAGGUCAGUUGGAUUCCGAGUCUACACAUCAGACACCUGUCGACAGCCCAGAUGAUUCAACUCUCAGUGAAAGUGCCAAUCAGGUCUUUCCGUUGAGACUGAGGUAAAGUUAAUCUGAGGCGACGUUCUGGAUGUACUGAACAGACACCUCACUCCAGCAGCUACCACUGGCAAGUCCAAGGUUUUCUAUUAUGAAAUGUAGGUUCUACACUAACAAUUAACAAGUGUACUUCAAUAAUUUUAAACACUCUCAGGAAUAAUUGACUUUGUUUCUUUUUUAUUUCUGAGCCAUUUCAUAUUAUUUUCCUUAUUAAAUGCAACCAAAAAUCCCACUGAAAUUAAGUGAGGAGCAUCUAAAUAUUGAAAAAAUUAUCACUUGAUAGACUAGAAUUAAACAAGCAGGUGGUUCCAAGAAAUGGCACAAGUGUAUUAAUCACAAAAUAAACUUUCUACAUGAAACAUUCAGCCAGCACUGUGCAAUGUGUGGUCGUUUGAGGGAGGGGAAUGAGAAAGGUCCCAUGAAAGCAAAAGAAUAUAAAUAACUAAAGCGGCCGGGCGCGGUGGCUCAAGCCUGUAAUCCCAGCACUUUGGGAGGCUGAGACGGGCGGAUCACGAGGUCAGGAGAUCGAGACCAUCCUGGCUAACACAGUGAAACCCCGUCUCUACUAAAAAAUACAAAAAACUAGCCGGGCGAGGUGGCGGGUGCCUGUAGUCCCAGCUACUCGGGAGGCUGAGACAGGAGAAUGGCGUAAACCCAGGAGGCGGAGCUUGCAGUGAGCUGAAAUCCCGCAACUGCACUCCAGCCUGGGCGACAGAGCGAGACUCCGUCUCAAAAAAUAAAUAAAUAAAUAAAUAAAUAAUAAAUAAAUAAAUAAAGCAAAAGCUAAUGCAUUUUUAUAACAGCCUGACCAUCUUUUGAUUCCAACAUCAA